This is a non-coding RNA of Phascolarctos cinereus (koala), 515 nucleotides long. NCBI's taxonomy places the organism in Eukaryota, Metazoa, Chordata, Mammalia, Diprotodontia, Phascolarctidae. The record is from RefSeq and is a predicted model, not a curated record.
AGUGAUGGUCAGAUCAAUGUCUAUUUUUAUAAGGAUCAUUUAAAUGCAUUUGUUUGCCCGGUGUCAUGGAAACAAGCCAGACUUCAAACUCAAAGGCAGACUCGUGAAUGGUCAGCCCAAGAAUGUCCUCCAUCUCGGAAGAAGAAUAUUUUGUAGGUGCCUCUUCCUUUGCCCAGCAGAGAGAAAAAGUCGGUUAGUAGGGCUGACAACUGGAACGACGCUCCCUGCGUGCACAAAAGCCUCCGGGAGCAUCUGCUAGCCAGCACCCAGAUGGAGAAGGAAGAAAGCAAAAAGUUUGAGGACCAGCUGUGCCGCUGGCUGAGCAAAGAGCACCAUCGUCUGGCUAUUUCCCUUCCCCCCCGCUCAGUCCGGCAUCUCAGUCGAUCGUGUCAGUGAUGCGGUUCCCUGCGCUGGCCAGGAUGCAGGCGACAAGAAUGGAAGACGUGCCCCCUGAGGAGAAGGCUGAGCCCUCUCUGCUGAAAAGAUUGAAACAUUUAGAAAAGCUAAUCAAAGCC